RNAcentral lists this long non-coding RNA (721 nucleotides) under Anser brachyrhynchus (Pink-footed goose). Its description in RNAcentral is "lncRNA (ENSABRG00000020482.1)". The record is from RNAcentral. Lineage: Eukaryota; Metazoa; Chordata; Aves; Anseriformes; Anatidae.
CUCGGGUCUCUUCUGUGUCACCGUCAACCCCUACAAGUGGCUGCCGGUGUACAACCCGGAGGUGGUGUUGGCCUACCGAGGCAAAAAGCGCCAGGAGGCCCCUCCACACAUCUUCUCCAUCUCUGACAAUGCCUAUCAGUUCAUGCUGACUGACCGUGAGAAUCAGUCAAUCCUGAUCACGUAAGUACACUCACUCCCUACUCAAGUCCCUGAGGGGCUGCCCCAUGCCCAGGAACCACACGCUCUCUGGUUCCAUGUUUGAUUUGACAGCGGAGAAUCCGGUGCAGGGAAGACUGUGAACACAAAGCGUGUCAUCCAGUACUUUGCAACAAUUGCAGCUAGUGGGGAUAAGAAGAAGGAGGAGCAGUCUGGCAAGAUGCAGGGGACACUUGAGGAUCAAAUCAUCAGUGCCAAUCCCCUGUUGGAGGCUUUUGGUAAUGCCAAGACUGUGAGGAAUGACAAUUCCUCACGCUUUGUAAGUUGUCGCCUGGCGUAAGAAAAGAUGACUUGAUUCUUAUCAACACAAUGCAGUCAGAGUUGGUGAGGUGGAUCUAGAUCUUUUAUUAUUAUGAUUAUUAUUAUUAUUAUUAUUAUUUAAUUUCAGGGUAAAUUUAUCAGAAUCCAUUUUGGUGCCACGGGAAAACUGGCUUCUGCUGACAUUGAAACAUGUAAGACCAGGCCUCCAGGCCUGACCACAUUCCUUCUGACUUUGAUCCUCAGU